Molecule: RNA transcript, 5002 nt
Organism: Apus apus (common swift)
Lineage: Eukaryota; Metazoa; Chordata; Aves; Apodiformes; Apodidae
Gene: GLT1D1
Gene name: glycosyltransferase 1 domain containing 1
Exons: 13
Source: RefSeq, a predicted model, not a curated record
CUAAGGUGGAGCCACCCUAAGGUCGGAGGGCUUCGCGGACGCCCGGAGCGGCCGGGCGGGCCGGGGCUGCGGCAGGUGGAAGAGCCGCUUCCGGGAGGCCGCCGGCAGGUGAAGGAGGCGGCGGCCGCGGCGCUGCCCCUCGGUGGGGCGGCUCCCGCCCAGGCGGACGGGAGAGGCCGCUAUGAGGCUGCUCUUGCUGGCCAGCCUCCGGGCGCAGACCGGCAACGCGACCACUGCGGCCAGGAUACAGGAUCAUCUACAUGCUGCAGGUCAUGUCUGCAUUCUUAAAGAUGCUUUCACUUAUGAAAGUCCAACAGAAGUAGCAAAUCUAACCUCUGCAGACAAGUUUGAUGCAGCCCUGGCCAUUCAUCUUUAUAAAGCAGGCAGACUUCUGCAAGGUAGCAGAAUUCCUUUUGGAGUCAUCUUCGGUGGGACAGAUGUAAAUGAAGAUGUCAAAUGUGAAGAGAAACGUCGGGUAAUGGGAGAUGUGCUAGGAGAAGCCAGGUUUGCAGUGGCUUUCACCAUGAAAAUGAAGGAACUGGCAGCAGCAGAGUGGCCAGAUGCUAGGAAGAAAAUCUAUGUCCAAACUCAAGGAAUUAAGACUACACCCAGUGAAACAUUUGACUGGUAUAGUUUUCUACAAAAUUCAGACAUUCCCACAGAUACAGACAGUUUACAUAUGUUCCUUUUGAUAUGUGGACUUCGAAGAGUCAAAGAUCCUCUGUAUUUAGUGGAUGUAUUUUCAGAUUGGCACAGAAAGGAUCCCAGUGUCCAUCUGGCCAUAAUCGGACCAGCAGUUGAUCCACUUUUUACAAGUGAAGUUAAGGAAAAAGUUAAAAGGUCACCUGGAGUACAUUUGUUACAGGAGAUGCCACAGGAUGAUCUUCAUGCUGCUAUGAAAAGGUGCUUUGCUGUGGUGAACAGCUCCAUCUCAGAGGGGAUGUCUGCUGCCAUUCUGGAGGCAAUGGAUUUAAAUAUUCCAGUGCUGGCAAGGAACAUUCCUGGGAAUGCAGCAAUAAUAAAACAUAAGGAAACAGGACUGCUAUUUUCAGAUCCCCAGGACUUUGUUGUGCUGUCCAAGAGUUUGAUGAAUGACCCCAUUAUGGAAAGAGAAAUUGUAACAAGGGCCAAAGCUUACGUGAAGAAACACCAUUCAUGGGAAAGUGAAAGAAAAGUCUAUCAGGAUCUUGUCCUAAGACUCCAGUGAAUUGCAAGACGACAGCUGAAACCCAGCAGUGUGCAUAGAGCACUUUAAUAAUGGAUAUGUAAUUACAUUUGGGUUUCUUUUUAGAAGAGAUAGCAAGACACACAUUAUUAUCCUAUUCAAACAUGCCAACAUCACAGGAGUUUCCUACUACUUCAAACUACCAAGUGUUUCUAAUUCACCACACUGGCUCUAGUGUACCAGGUCAUUAUAGACUGGUAUAAUUUUGUGAGAUCACACAGGAGAAAUAUAGUCUUUGAGCAGACACAAUUUUUCUUGCUGUAAGGCCUCAAAAAGAGGAGGAUUUCUUGCACACAGUGGAGCACCCCAACACAGCGAGCUAACGUCACAUGUUCUGAUCAUGUUGCAUCCCAACCAAACUGCAGUAGCAGUUUUUAUUCCAUUUAUCCCAAGCUGAAUGUAUUCAGUCCCAGCCCCAGGCAGUGAAUUGACCCAGUACAUUAAAAGGCAAGUACCAGAGAUGUGCCGACGUUCCGCUGGCAUCUGCAGCCAUGGGCAGCUCAGGGGAAAACGGGAACAUCUCAUGCAACACUGACCUAUCUCAGAAGAGGCCAAACUCCUGAACGUGAACUUUGAAGGCAAGAUAAGGGUGAUGUGCCUGAGCCAGUCUGGCAAGAAGGGGAAGUGCCCACGAUGGACACACACAAAGCAGCUCAGCUGGAGAGAGAGAGAAAGAGAGAACAAGUGCUCAUCCUGCCUGCAAAGAAACAGGCAGGGCCAGUCUUGGGCCCAUGGAAGAUAAGUUAAUCCUCAGCAGGGGAAUUUCUGCAUGAAGACAAAUAGUCAGAAACUGAUCUACCCUAAACUACCUUAUGGUUAGCAAGAUUAAUCUCACCUUCAUGUAAGGAUCUCAUAAAUACAGAAAACUAUUUCUCCAGAACUCCUUUAUGGCCAGUGGAGGGUCCGGGCCUAGUAAAAAUGAUAGUUCAUCAAUGCAACCUUAGGUGAGGAUGAUCCACCCACUGAAGGUAUUUGUCUCUGUUAGAAGGAGGGUAACACCUUUCCAGUGCUCACAUCUCAGUGAGAGAAAUUCCGCCCCAAGUCCAGGUACCAGCUUUCUGAGAAGGGGUUCAGGUCUCAAGGUCAGAAUCUUUAGACAAACACCUGAAGGAGGAGCCACAAGAGAGAGAGACCCUGGGGGCACAAAAGCUCUGUAAGCACUCAUGAACUACACAGGCAGAGGCAAUACCCUGCACGUGUGGGUGUGCAGGUUAUUGUCCUGUGUGCAGGUUAUUGUCCUGUGUGCAGCAUUGGGACUGCAGUGAACCCAGCUGCUAGAAUCUCAGAGCUUCUCUUGAUCUAAACUGGGCAAAGCAUCAGGGGGGUACAGCCAGUCUGGGGGCAAACCUGAGAGGGGGAGCAGGCAGUGGUGUGUGUCCAGCCAGAGAACACAAGCAACAGAACUGUUCCCCAGGCUUUAGCCACAGUCCAACUCACAUUUUCCCCAUCAACAGUACUUUGUCUCUUUGUUUCUAAUUCUUCUGUGCUUAUCUACAUUUAAACUAUUAAUAACUGCAUGAUUCUUGCUACAACAUUUGGGAAGGGAAUACAGUGUCAUUGGUUUGUAAGAGUUAACAACAGACAACUUGUAAUUAAAGAAAAAUUUGUUUCCUGAAUCACAGCAAACCAGGUUUUAAGUGAAGCAAAGAAAACAUGAUAGCUUGAUCUCAAAUCCCACAGAAACCUAUAUCCAUCCCUGGCUUUACACACUGCAGGUGUGCAAGAGUUAGUAUAUAUUUAUUGGGACCUUUUAAAGUGUCACACUGGAUCACCUUAGCAUUCCUGCUCCGCUACAGUUGUCACACAAAUAACAAGUGCAUGCAAGGACUUCCAUUAAUGUCUCUUGAUAUUGGAGAUUUCUGGGAAGACAGAAAUUUAAUCAUGAGACAUGAAAAAAAAAUGAAAGCCUAGAGAUGAAGCAGGCACUUUUGUGAUGCUCUUUCAGAAGCUGUCACAUAAUAUAGAUGCUAUUCUCCCCAGUGUCUUCUUAGUUUUGCCUGUAAAUGCAUGUCUCCCUCUUCUCAUCUAUUUUUGGUAAGGCCAAAAGUCCCCCAGAGCACUAUAAUUAUCUCCAUCAGAAAUGUCAGAAGAGUUUACAGCUGAAGUAGGUGUUUGCCCAGAACAGGAAAAUCAGGUACACCUUCAGGUGUGCUGGGGAGGUAUUAAAAUCAAGUUGUUGCACAUAAUUUUCAGGGGAAGAUUUGGGCUGCACUAGUGGGAAAGAUUUGUGUAUCAACUAUACUUGAGAAAAUAAGCCAUAUUAUCCCUCUGGGCUUUGACUUCAAGCCAUUAAGGACUGAGCAAGUUAAAUGUAUUUUAAAUAAAACUUUGUUGCUUCAUCUGUUGGAAGGCACAACAAUAGAUGAGUCCCUUAAUGUAAAUGCAGUAACGAGGCUAUGCUUGUGAUGCUUUCCCUGCACUUCCCUUUGUUUACUGCCAGUUUUUCCUGCAACACACCAAGGGUUAGAACCUCUGCCUAGCAGUUUGAAAUAAGUGAGGUUUUACAUUUAACGAGAAAAGUCACAUUUUUGCUAUGGCAGUGUUAAAAUUCAAUUACUUUAAGUUUUAUGUGUGACUGAGUAUCCAUAUACCCUGAAAGUGAAAACUACAUUUUCAACAACAUCUGUCAACUGGCAGGAUCCUAUUAGGAAAUGUGGAAAAAACCCACAUUAUUAAAAAAGGAUAUGCCUUGCAAAGGCAUAUUGGAAGGGCUCAAAUGACUUAAACCUGGACUUCAGAUAUGGGGAAUGCAGAACAUCAAACAGAUGCCAACCUCCCAGCAGCUUUUGUGUGUCUCUUUGCUCCAAGGUGCCAGGGCAUGAUUUUCAUCCCUCCUGUGACCUCCCCUCUCCCACUGAUUUUAUUAAGAAUAUUGGCUGCAUGGCACGUCUCUGAAAUCAGGCCUUUGCGUCAUAAACUGGGCACUCAACAUUAACUUCUGCUUUAAAACUGAGGAUUAAAACAUUUUCUCUCCUUAGUUCCCCUGUAUUUUUUCAGGCCAACAGAAAGUUCAGAGAAAUCCAGAUUUUGCAGAAAGAGCUUUCACGGCGAGCGCGCUGCCAUUUAUUUGUGACAACACUCGGCAUGGAACCCAGAGCAAAAGGCUCCAUCUCUGGCAUUGGACACAACAACUACCUCCGUGGAGGGGAGAGAUACAAAAGCUGCAAGUACCCAUUCACAGAGGAAGCAGAUUAACACCCUAAGCCACCAAAUCAUUUCCAUUGUGUACAUACACAACUGUGUGAGCACAAAACCCGUGUUUCACUGCCUGUUAUGCUCCAUUAUUUUUGAAUACAAUCUUUCUCUUGGCAUUAGUACUAAAUGAAUGGUAAGUUCAUUUCAUCUGAAAGGCUAAACAAACAAGCACUAACAAUGAGAAUAAAUCAGAUUGCUGCAGUACUUUCAAGUAGCUGGUAAAAAUAAUAUUUUCAUCAACUACCUCAGCUGUAACCACCAUGAGCUACUGGAAGGGUUAAGGCUGUGCCUCAGAAGUCUAGUGAGAAAACACACAAAAUUAUUCAAAAUACGCAAUUUCAUCCCCGCCCCUUGACUCAGAUCCAAAGCAGAAGAUGGCAGUCUGAGUUUCUGCCCACACUACCAAGUUGAAGCCACCAACAAAACAAAGGCUAAUGGAAUAUUCUGAAAGACCAGCCAUUUAGCAGGAAUGCUAAUAGAUAGCAAUAUUCUACAAAAAUAACUGGCCAGACUGACGUGGUUUACUCCAAGAGAAAGUAUUCUUUUGGUUUGCUCCAAAAUAAAGAACAAUCCCACAUUUAA